RNAcentral lists this ribosomal RNA (746 nucleotides) under uncultured bacterium. Its description in RNAcentral is "bacterial SSU rRNA". It matches the Rfam family "Bacterial small subunit ribosomal RNA", at positions 104 to 851 of the family's 1533-position model. The record is from RNAcentral.
GGGUGAGUAACGCGUAUCCAACCUGCCCACCACUUGGGGAUAACCUUGCGAAAGUAAGACUAAUACCCAAUGAUAUCUCUAGAAGGCAUCUGAAAGAGAUUAAAGAUUUAUCGGUGAUGGAUGGGGAUGCGUCUGAUUAGCUUGUUGGCGGGGUAACGGCCCACCAAGGCAACGAUCAGUAGGGGUUCUGAGAGGAAGGUCCCCCACAUUGGAACUGAGACACGGUCCAAACUCCUACGGGAGGCAGCAGUGAGGAAUAUUGGUCAAUGGACGAGAGUCUGAACCAGCCAAGUAGCGUGCAGGAUGACGGCCCUAUGGGUUGUAAACUGCUUUUAUAAGGGAAUAAAGUGAGUCUCGUGAGACUUUUUGCAUGUACCUUAUGAAUAAGGACCGGCUAAUUCCGUGCCAGCAGCCGCGGUAAUACGGAAGGUCCGGGCGUUAUCCGGAUUUAUUGGGUUUAAAGGGAGCGUAGGCCGGAGAUUAAGCGUGUUGUGAAAUGUAGAUGCUCAACAUCUGAACUGCAGCGCGAACUGGUUUCCUUGAGUACGCACAAAGUGGGCGGAAUUCGUGGUGUAGCGGUGAAAUGCUUAGAUAUCACGAAGAACUCCGAUUGCGAAGGCAGCUCACUGGAGCGCAACUGACGCUGAAGCUCGAAAGUGCGGGUAUCGAACAGGAUUAGAUACCCUGGUAGUCCGCACGGUAAACGAUGGAUGCCCGCUGUUGGUCUGAAUAGGUCAGCGGCCAAG